This 392-nucleotide ribosomal RNA is filed under the name uncultured bacterium. RNAcentral describes it as "bacterial SSU rRNA". It matches the Rfam family "Bacterial small subunit ribosomal RNA", at positions 971 to 1422 of the family's 1533-position model. The record is from RNAcentral.
UUACCAACUUGACAUGACUUAAUUCCUUCGGCACAGGUGGUGCAUGGUUGUCGUCAGCUCGUGUCGUGAGAUGUUGGGUUAAGUCCCGCAACGAGCGCAACCCUACUUUAGUAGCCAGCAUAUGGGACUCUAGGGGACUGCCGCGGACAAGCGGAGGAAGGUGGGGAUGACGUCAAAUCAUCAUGCCCCUUAUGUUGGGCUACACACGUGCUACAAUGGGUUACAAGGGGCACGGUGACGGGAGCAACCCCAAAAGCAUCCCAGUUCGGAUUGUAGUCCGCAACUCGACUACAUGAAGUUGGAAUCGCUAGUAAUCGCGAUCAGAUGCGCGGUGAAUACGUUCCCGGGCCUUGUACACACCGCCCGUCACACCACGGAAGUUGGGGACCAAC